GUAGGGAAUCUUCCACAAUGGACGAAAGUCUGAUGGAGCAACGCCGCGUGAGUGAAGAAGGUUCUCGGAUCGUAAAACUCUGUUGUGAGGGAAGAACAAGUACCGGAGUAACUGCCGGUACCUUGACGGUACCUCAUUAGAAAGCCACGGCUAACUACGUGCCAGCAGCCGCGGUAAUACGUAGGUGGCAAGCGUUGUCCGGAAUCAUUGGGCGUAAAGCGCGCGCAGGCGGUCCCUUAAGUCUGAUGUGAAAGCCCACGGCUCAACCGUGGAGGGUCAUUGGAAACUGGGGGACUUGAGUGCAGAAGAGGAAAGCGGAAUUCCAAGUGUAGCGGUGAAAUGCGUAGAGAUUUGGAGGAACACCAGUGGCGAAGGCGGCUUUCUGGUCUGUAACUGACGCUGAGGCGCGAAAGCGUGGGGAGCAAACAGGAUUAGAUACCCUUGUAGUCC
This 450-nucleotide ribosomal RNA is filed under the name uncultured bacterium. RNAcentral's name for it is "partial 16S ribosomal RNA". It matches the Rfam family "Bacterial small subunit ribosomal RNA", at positions 354 to 796 of the family's 1533-position model. The record is from RNAcentral.